CAGAACCCUAAUCAUCCAAUUCUACCCUCUCUUUUUUUUCAAUUUCUCUGAGUUGAUCCAACAAUGGAUGAAGAAUAUGAUGUGAUUGUGCUUGGUACAGGUCUCAAGGAAUGCAUCCUUAGCGGUCUUCUAUCUGUUGAUGGUCUUAAGGUUCUGCACAUGGACAGAAAUGACUACUAUGGAGGAGAAUCAACUUCCCUCAAUCUUGUCCAGCUUUGGAAGAGGUUUAAAGGAAGUGAUAAACCUCCAGCUGAACUGGGUUCUAGUAGAGAUUACAAUGUUGACAUGAUUCCUAAGUUUAUUAUGGCAAAUGGUGCUCUUGUGCGGGUGCUAAUUCAUACCGAUGUCACAAAAUAUUUAUACUUUAAAGCUGUUGAUGGAAGCUUUGUG
This 390-nucleotide unclassified non-coding RNA is filed under the name Hevea brasiliensis (rubber tree). Lineage: Eukaryota; Viridiplantae; Streptophyta; Magnoliopsida; Malpighiales; Euphorbiaceae. The record is from RNAcentral.